Molecule: long non-coding RNA, 1221 nt
Filed under: Phasianus colchicus (ring-necked pheasant)
Lineage: Eukaryota; Metazoa; Chordata; Aves; Galliformes; Phasianidae
Description: lncRNA (ENSPCLG00000017981.1)
Source: RNAcentral
AGAACCUAUUAUAUUGUCAUCAUAUCAUCAUUUCAGUUUUUAAUAUAUUUUUUUUCUUUUUUAUUGCAGCUGUACAUUUUGGAAAGAUUUUCUACACUCAUUCCCAAACUUAUUUUUGAAGUGAUAGGAUGAUGUUUCAUCUGAAAGUCAAGAAUUUGAAAUCCAUGGCUGAAUGCAUCUCCCAGAAUCUCCUGUUAGAUAGUUCUUAUCUGAGAAAGGAGAUGAGAAAUAUCUUCCUGUGGAUUGCAGAUUGCAGAGUACUUACUCCAUAAGCAGAUUGCAGAGUAUUUACUGAAGGAUUCAAGAUCAGGAAUAGCAGCUAGCAGUUUGCUUUCUCUCACAGCCCCCCUUACCCUCCUGCAAGCAGUCACAUUGACUUCAGGCUAACACCAAGAGAGCUCUAUAUUGAAUGCCAAGAAUUGCCUGAAACAGGUAAUUCCUUUGAGAUCAUCCAUGUUAAAGUGACUCAAUGCAACCCCAUUUGGCCAUCUUCUGAUAACUGCACUUGGAAAUCAAAUGUGGGAAUGAGCACUGCGAGUCCUUUUAGAAACUAGUUUUAAAUUAGCUUUGAAGAUUUUUAUUUCCCCUCCCUCUAUCUUUUCUUUGCAAUUAAAGACUCAGUUGUGUUUUUCUCUUGUACUAUCAUAGCAUCAGGUUCCUAAACAAUUUUGUAAAAUGGUGAGCAAUCUGUGAGGAGUUUAUAAAGUGAGUUUAUAGAGAUCAAGUGACUUGAUAGAGUGGUUCUGUACCAAACGUAGGAACAGAAGUCUGUAUCUGUACAUCCAACUCCAUUAUUGGAUUUUUCCACCUCAAGUUAAUAUGUAGGCCACUCUGAAAGUAAUGCUUUGUAUUAAUUUCUGUGAAAACUACAACAGAUACCAGAGGCACAAUAACACUAUUUGAUAGAGCAAAUUCUCAGCUACAGACCACUGUUUUUCAACAUGGUUCCUACUGUUAGCUUUACAUUUUCAACAGCAGUGAACAAAAGCCUGCAUGCCUUGCUCAUAAAAAUCUGCAUGGCCAACUGGAGCAUGGCUUGUAUUUCACAUCACUAUUCCCACUGCUGAAACACACCACCCACUGCUCACUGUGCUCACAUCCACUGCUUGGUCUCCAUAAAAACACAGCAAGUGUUGCCAUUUUUUUCCGCAUGGAGGGAUUCAGUGAUACACCUUUGCUUCAUCCACAUUUCCACGUCAGACACCAUUCUAUCAGACUGCC